UUCAGCAAUAUCCCUCCCUUGAUAAGAAUAAACAACAAUGUGAGUAUACACGAACGUUCAAGUCCAUCUCUAGCCAAAGCUUGAAACAUCUGCGAAAAAUGCAAAAGCAAGGCGGAUUUUGGUAAGCAGCUAUACAAAAAAUUAUGAACUUGAAACAGCAUUCAGAUUCCGAACUGCUUUCCUCGUACCGUCAAAGAAUUGGGAUUGCAGAUCGAUGAUUCUUCGUGUUGGGGCGCGGUACUAACACUUCUAACUAGCCGAAUUAGAGUUCAUAUAUACGGCUAGCAUCAAUUCAAUCGUCGGCGACAGGGAUGGAACCAUCGAAACUAACACAACAGAGGACGCAUUCGCAAUUCAUCUUCUCAAAACCCCACACAUCGCUGCUGCAAUCAACGCCAAACAAAUUACUAACGGAGAAGUUAGGCUGUAACACAAAUGAAAGAAACGGAAAUCACCCAACGAAUUGAAGUCUGGGUUUGUCAGUUUAGGAGGCCGUUGUUAAUAUUUAGAAUGGCGCGGCCGCAGGAGAUAGAUGAGGCGGCGACGGCAUCAUCUGGUGGAGGGCCGAUCAGCCAUGCAAUGGAGUUACUUGAAUUUGAGGAAGCGCUGAUUAGGCAUGCAAUGACAUAGGAACCAACGACCAUUACCAAUGAAAGAGGCGGCGAUCGUGUCCUUGGUGGCGAUCCCUCUAGGCUAUCGGGUCUUGGUGGUGGCAACCUUCGGUGGAGAAUGGAGAUGGGUUCGUACAGAGAAGGAAGAGAUAGAUCGAGGGAGAAGAAACUUUCUUGUCUAUUUCUCUUUUCACAAACUUCAUUCAAACAAGCGUAAAAGAAGUUAACAGAGGAGUCAGCAGAGUUGGUGAGUUUUGUGGUGGAUAUGUUUUUCACAAAUAGAUGCUCAUAUUGUACUACAAAUCCAAAUUCAGGGAUUAAAGAAGCAAGAUGUGAGGAUUAACUAAACGGAUUAAUUAAAUUCUGCCACAUGACGAGGGUACCGUGUACACACAUGUAUUAUGAACCUACCUACUCAUUUGACACUACUACUGCAGAAAGAUAGGCAUAUCACACGACAUAAUGGCACUCUUCUUCAGAGAGUUCGACUACCGCUCCUAGUGGUGAUUCUUGAGUUCGAGGUCGAGAUUAGGCCACAAUUCUUGAGUUGGACUGCUUUGAAUUGGUUACAAGUCCAGGAUGAUCU
Molecule: long non-coding RNA, 1197 nt
Filed under: Linum usitatissimum (flax)
Lineage: Eukaryota; Viridiplantae; Streptophyta; Magnoliopsida; Malpighiales; Linaceae
Description: long non-coding RNA (LUSI_LNC002841)
Source: RNAcentral